This 483-nucleotide ribosomal RNA is filed under the name uncultured Mycobacterium sp. Its description in RNAcentral is "bacterial SSU rRNA". It matches the Rfam family "Bacterial small subunit ribosomal RNA", at positions 8 to 507 of the family's 1533-position model. Lineage: Bacteria; Bacillati; Actinomycetota; Actinomycetes; Mycobacteriales; Mycobacteriaceae. The record is from RNAcentral.
AGAGUUUGAUCCUGGCUCAGGACGAACGCUGCGGCGUGCUUAACACAUGCAAGUCGAACGGAAAGGGCCCUUCGGGGUACGUCGAGUGGCGAACGGGUGAGUAACACGUGGGUGAUCUGCCCUGCACUUUGGGAUAAGCCUGGGAAACUGGGUCUAAUACCGAAUAGGACCGCGCUCUUCAUGGGGUGUGGUGGAAAGCUUUUGCGGUGUGGGAUGGGCCCGCGGCCUAUCAGCUUGUUGGUGGGGUAAUGGCCUACCAAGGCGACGACGGGUAGCCGGCCUGAGAGGGUGACCGGCCACACUGGGACUGAGAUACGGCCCAGACUCCUACGGGAGGCAGCAGUGGGGAAUAUUGCACAAUGGGCGCAAGCCUGAUGCAGCGACGCCGCGUGAGGGAUGACGGCCUUCGGGUUGUAAACCCCUUUCAGUAGGGACGAAGCGCAAGUGACGGUACCUAUAGAAGAAGGACCGGCCAACUACGUG